RNAcentral lists this ribosomal RNA (2670 nucleotides) under Triticum aestivum (bread wheat). RNAcentral describes it as "partial small subunit ribosomal RNA". Lineage: Eukaryota; Viridiplantae; Streptophyta; Magnoliopsida; Poales; Poaceae. The record is from RNAcentral.
AUGGUAUCACUACUCGUGCUUGCGGUGCUUGUGUUGCCGCCGGCAACAAUUGCCACGGUGACUACAGCUACAAGAAACUGCUCUGAUACCUGUGGUUCUGAUGUGAUACCUUACCCUUUCGGGCUAGAUCCUUCAUGCUCCUUGCCUGGUUUCAAUCUCACCUGUGCUGUCGACAAGCACACCAACGCCAGUUUUCUCAUGCUGGGCACGGACAACUCAACCCUGAAGGUGUCUCAGGUUUUUGCGGAUUCCAACCCCUACCUCAGCUACCUGCACACCAGUCUCUCGUACACGACGAAAAUGAUUCCCGGUGUCCGCGACUCCUCCAUCCACUGGGAAGCUCCAGCUAGGCCCUUUGCCAUCUCUGGCUCGUCAAACAUAUCCUUGUUUGUUGUCGGCUGCGAUGUCACAGCCUCACUGUACAUUGGAAACUCGGUCGUUCAGGUCGGGAACUGCACUGUCGUCUGCACGGAAGCUCAAAUCAUGGAGAAGCUACCUGUGGGGACAUGCGAUGCCAUGGUUGGCAUCAGAUGCUGCUCCAUCGGCAUACAGGUGAACUUAAGGGCGUUCACCCUCAACAUCUCACGCAUCAGUGAUUCUCCACGCCCCAAACAAGUGCAAGCUUUCAUCGCCUACAAUAUGAACCCAACAUUCAGGCCGAUUGACGCCUACUCUGGGUUAUUAGAGCGAUACGUUGCUCAACUGGAUUGGUCUAUUCCAUACCAACCAAACUGUAAGCAUGCCAUAGAGGACAAGGACAACUAUGCCUGCGUUAGCGACCACAGCAACUGUCAAGACUCGCCGAUCGGUGGAUACCUCUGCUACUGCCAGUCAGGCGAGGGGAAUGCUUACAUUGAUGGCGGCUGCCCUAAUCCUCCAGUAUAUGGCUCCAUUCAGCCAAGAACGAAUUGUCCUACAUCAUGCGGGAAUAUGAGCAUCCCGUUCCCCUUUGGUACAGAGCUUGGCUGUUUUGCAAAACUCCAUCUCUACCUCACAUGUACACCAGGGACGACCGUUCUUCCUCCGGUCCUUAAAUUGACUGAUCAAGCGCUCGUCACAGACAUAUCUAUUGAUGACGGCAUCUUGCAAGUUCAUGAGGCAUCGGGGCCAGGCGAUUUCAUGGCUCGUUGGAACUUGGACCCUGCGCUCUACACAUCAUCCGGGCAAUGGGGUGCAGUGAAGUGGGUUAUUGAUAACAUGACAUGCCAGCAUGCAAUGAACAACAGCGACUACAGAUGCUUCAGCACCCACAGCGACUGUGUUGAUGUGACAGAGGAUAGAACACUCAAACAUGUCGGUUACCGGUGCAGGUGCUCUUCUGGUUUCGAAGGAAAUCCUUACAUUCAAGAUGGAUGCACAGAUACCAACGAGUGCCGUGAGCCAGAUAAAUACAUCUGCAAGGGUACUUGCCAGAAUAGUUUUGGAAGCUAUACAUGCACCAGUUGUCCUCGAGGAACAGAUUUCAAUAGUGUCGCAGGAAAAUGCAAACCAACCACUAUAAUAUUAGGUGUUACUAUUGGAAUAAGCAGUGGUGGAGGCGUUCUGUUUCUUGCUGCCAUUGUUGCUAUUCUUACUCGGAGAUGGAAGAAAAGUGUUCAGAAACGUCAGAGAAAGAGGCAUUUCCGUAAGAACAGAGGCAUUCUACUACAACAGCUGAUCUCCUCCGAUCAAAGUGCCAGCGAUGGCGGCACAAAGAUAUUCUCCCUGGAGGAGCUGCAAAAGGCAACCAACAAUUUCGAUCACACCCGUGUGGUUGGACGCGGUGGCCAUGGCACUGUCUACAAGGGCAUCCUGACCGACCAGCGAGUGGUGGCCAUCAAGAAAUCAACGCUUGCUGUGAUCAGAGAGAUCGACGAGUUCAUCAACGAGGUCUCCAUCCUAUCGCAGAUCAACCACCGGAACGUGGUGAAGCUCCAUGGAUGUUGCCUAGAAUCUGAGGUCCCUCUGCUCGUCUACGAGUUCGUCUCCAACGGCACGCUCUACGACCUCCUGCACCGAGAGCAGAACGGUAGCUUGUCGCCGUUGUCCUGGGAGGAGCGCCUGAGGAUAUCCACCGAGAUCGCGGGUGCGCUCACGUACCUGCACUCCGCGGCUUCCGUGUCGAUCCUACACAGAGACGUCAAGUGCAUGAACGUGCUCCUGACGGACAGCUACACCGCAAAGGUUUCAGACUUCGGCGCUUCGAGGCUGAUCCCGAUCGAUCAGACGCACCUAGUCACUGCCGUUCAGGGCACGUUUGGGUACCUAGAUCCGGAGUAUUACCACACCGGUCAGCUCAACGAAAAGAGCGAUGUUUAUAGUUUUGGAGUGAUACUCGUUGAGCUGCUGACGAGGAGGAAGCCCAUCAUUCAGAAUGAGCAUGGCGAGAAGCAGAACCUGUCCAACUACUUCUUGUGGGCUAUGAGGGAGAGGCCCCUCGAGGAGACAGUGGACCCUCAGAUCCUUGAGGAAGCGAAUGAGGAAGGCGUUCUGUGCAUGGCUCAGUUGGCGGAGGAGUGCCUAUGUCUGACACGAGUGCAGAGGCCUACCAUGAAGGAUGUGGAGAUGAGGCUGCAGCUCCUGGCGGGGCGCCGUGUUGUACCAAGGGCGGGGCCGCAUGAAGGAUUGAAGGGGCACAAUCUCGCCGUGAAGCUACGGGAGACGUUGGGCGUGGUUGUGUUGUUCCGGUGA